AUCCUGGCUCAGGAUGAACGCUAGCUACAGGCUUAAACACAUGCAAGUCGGAGGGGAAACGACAUCGAAAGUCUUGUCUUUUGAUGGGCGUCGACCGGCGCGACGGGUGAGUAACGCGUAUCCAACCUGCCCACCACUUGGGGAUAACCUUGCGAAAGUAAGACUAAUACCCGAUGAUAUCUCUAGACGACAUCUGAAAGGGGAUUAAAGAUUUAUCGGUGAUGGAUGGGGAUGCGUCUGAUUAGUUAGUCGGCGGGGUAACGGCCCACCGAGACGACGAUCAGUAGGGGUUCUGAGAGGAAAGUCCCCCACAUUGGAACUGAGACACGGUCCAAACUCCUACGGGAGGCAGCAGUGAGGAAUAUUGGUCAAUGGGCGAGAGCCUGAACCAGCCAAGUAGCGUGCAGGACGACGGCCCUAUGGGUUGUAAACUGCUUUUAUAAGGGAAUAAAGUGAGUCUCGUGAGACUUUUUGCAUGUACCUUAUGAAUAAGGACCGGCUAAUUCCGUG
RNAcentral lists this ribosomal RNA (510 nucleotides) under uncultured bacterium. RNAcentral describes it as "bacterial SSU rRNA". It matches the Rfam family "Bacterial small subunit ribosomal RNA", at positions 16 to 507 of the family's 1533-position model. The record is from RNAcentral.